Molecule: ribosomal RNA, 253 nt
Filed under: uncultured bacterium
Lineage: Bacteria
Description: partial 16S ribosomal RNA
Rfam family: Bacterial small subunit ribosomal RNA
Source: RNAcentral
UACGUAGGGUGCAAGCGUUGUCCGGAAUUAUUGGGCGUAAAGAGCUCGUAGGCGGUCUGUCGCGUCGGCUGUGAAAUCCCGGAGCUCAACUCCGGGUCUGCAGUCGAUACGGGCAAACUGGAGUACUGCAGGGGAGACUGGAAUUCCUGGUGUAGCGGUGAAAUGCGCAGAUAUCAGGAGGAACACCGAUGGCGAAGGCAGAUCUCUGGGCCGUAACUGACGCUGAGGUGCGAAAGCGUGGGGAGCAAACAGG